This 570-nucleotide ribosomal RNA is filed under the name Brachypalpoides lentus. Its description in RNAcentral is "eukaryotic LSU rRNA". Lineage: Eukaryota; Metazoa; Arthropoda; Insecta; Diptera; Syrphidae. The record is from RNAcentral.
AGUACGUGAAACUGCUUAGAGGUUAAGCCCGAUGAACCUGAAUAUCCGUUAUGGAAAAUUCAUCACUAAUAUUGUAAUAUAUAUCAUAUUAUAGAAAUAGUGUGCAAUUUUUCCAUAUAAGGACAUUGUAAUCUGUUAAUGUAAUAAAUAUUUAUCAAAAGAUCUUUUACUUAAGUUUAUUCAAAUUAGUUAUUUUCGGAUUUCUAACAUAGAAUAAAUGUAUUAGAUUUGAUAAAUCAUUGACAGAUUUAAUUAUAUAUAGUGCUUAAAUUUUUCGGAAUUUUACAAUGCUAAAUAAAUCUAUUGAUAUAUUUUAUAUUGUAUGCGCUUAUAUGAUUAACAAUGCGAUAGAUUCAGGAUACCUUCGGGACCCGUCUUGAAACACGGACCAAGGAGUCUAACAUAUGUGCAAGUCAUUGGGUAUUUUUAAUAAAACCCAAUGGCAUAAUUAACUUAACUGUUUUAAAUGGGAUUAGUUUAUAUUUUAAUAUGAAAUAUAAAUUCAAUCCCGGGGCGUUCUAUACAGUUAUGCAUAAUGAUAUUUAUAUUAAUUAUGCCUCUUACUAGAGC